Molecule: long non-coding RNA, 1697 nt
Organism: Raphanus sativus (radish)
Lineage: Eukaryota; Viridiplantae; Streptophyta; Magnoliopsida; Brassicales; Brassicaceae
Exons: 5
Source: RefSeq, a predicted model, not a curated record
GAAGUAAAGAAUAAGCUAACAAAUAAAAUAAAAUUUAAUAAAACAUUAAGAAAAGUGAAAGGCUUUCUCAUUUUGAUUUGAAUUUCCGAAACAUAAAAAAAAAAACACACACCUUUUAUGUUGGAAGCAAACGACACAAAAGGAACCUCAAUCCCCGCCGUAACAACCCUCUUUCUCCGACGGUUGUCCGAGCUUCCUCCGCCACGAAGCUUCACUAAGAUACCCGCAGCAGGGUGUCACAAGAUCAUUUUACUUGUGAUGCUUUCGAAGUUGCAGAAGCGUUUAAGCUAAGCUAAGCUUCUUUUGUCUGUCUGGCUUUGCUUAUUCAUUUUCCAGAUAUCUCACCAGUUUCUAUUUUUAUAUUUAUAUUCAUGUCCCUAUGAGUUUCAUCUUUCUUCUGUUUGGUCCCCACUUGUUUUUAUUUUUUUUUCUAUUUCUUCUUGUUUAUUGAUGGCCUACAACUGUUGAUUUUGUUCCUCUGAUAUUAAUUCUUACUGAAACACAGAUGUCAAAUCCAUUGAAAGAGCCUGUAGAAGAUGAUGAUGAUGCCUCGGACUCUGUUCCUCACAUGAGGGACGAUAAUGAAUCUGUUCGCCUAGUUGUUGCCGCCCAUGGAGCUGCUUCUCCACCACCUGAAACCGUAUCUCAAUCAGUCGAAACGCAGAGUAGCAACUUGUUGAUGUGGUGGUGGUGGUUUAAAGCUUUGUGUAUAUGUGCACUUACUCUCUUGCUCACAUUUGUUUCGUCAAAUGGGAUGUUCCCUUUCUAUUCCAAAAGGUUCUUAUUCCAAUUUUACAAUGGGAAGCAACUGCAUUUGGCAUUCCUACGCUCUUCAUCGUCCUCCUCCUUUCCUUAGCCUUGUUCCCAGUCUUCUUGAUCCCGUCCGGUCCAUCCAUGUGGUUAGCCGGUAUGAUUUUCGGUUACGGUCUCGGUUAUCUCAUCAUCAUGGUUGGAACCACCGUUGGCAUGCUUCUUCCUUACUUUAUCGGCCUAAUGUUUUCGUGAUCGCCUCCAUCAAUGGUUAAAAAGGUGGCCUCGUCAAGCAGCUGUUCUUAGAGUAGCUGCAGAAGGAAGCUGGUUCCAUCAGUUCAAAGUCGUGGCUAUCUUUCGAAUCUCGCCAUUUCCUUACACCAUCUUCAACUACGCGAUCCUUGUGACAAGCAUGAGGUUCUGGCCUUACUUGUUCGGUUCCGUAGCUGGAAUGGUACCUGAAGCUUUCAUCUACAUUUACAGCGGUCGGUUGAUCAGAACAUUUGCGGAUGUGCAAUACGGACAUCAACGUUUGACAACAGUAGAGAUUGUGUACAAUGUAAUCUCGUUAGUCAUUGCGGUUGUGACUACUGUUGCUUUCACUGUGUACGCGAAAAGAGCUUUGAGAGAACUGCAAAACGCAGAAGCUAACGAAGAUGUAAGUAAAGAGGCGAGAUUUGAGAUGAAUAACGUUGUUGAACAUGAAGAUAGUCAUCGGCGUUUGGGUUCUUCUCAUGCAUUGCCUUGACUGAAAACUCUCACUAAUGAUAGAUUUUGUAAAGCUUAAUGUUGAUUUGGUAUCUCAGCAGGAGUAAGUAAGAAAUAAAUAACACAAAAAAUGUGGAAUAUCCGAAUAUGUCUGAUGUAGUAAACCAGGAAGACUAGUCAAACGUUGGAUUCUAAACAAUAGUGUUGCUGAUUCGUUGACAAAAAAAAAGUGUUGCUGA